This 497-nucleotide ribosomal RNA is filed under the name uncultured bacterium. RNAcentral describes it as "partial 16S ribosomal RNA". It matches the Rfam family "Bacterial small subunit ribosomal RNA", at positions 28 to 507 of the family's 1533-position model. The record is from RNAcentral.
GACGAACGCUGGCGGCGUGCCUAACACAUGCAAGUCGAGCGAACAGACCCGGAUCUUGCUCCUCUGUCGUUAGCGGCGGACGUGAGAGUAACAUGAGGAUCACCUACCUAUAAGACUGGUAUAACUACGGGAAACCGGAGCAAAUACCGGAUAAUAUAUUGAACCGCAUGGUUCGAUAGUGAGAGACGGUUUUGCUGUCAGUUAUCGCUGUAUACGGGCGGGUUUGGCUGGUUGUUAGGGUAACGGGUUACGAAGGCAAGGAUGCGUUGCCGACGUGAGGGGGGGAUCGGCGACAUUGGAGCUGAGACGCGGUCCAGACUCCUACGGGAGGCAGCAGUAGGGAAUGGUCCGCAGUGGGCGAAAGCCUGACGGAGCAACGGCGCGUGUGUGAUGAAGGUCUUCGGAUCGGAAAACUCUGUUAUGGGGGAAGAACAACUGUGGAAGGAGCUAAGCACGUCUUGACGGUACCUGAUCAAGAAGCACCGGCUAACUACGUG